CCGAGAAGGGAGAUGACGAGAGCCACCGCGAGCGUGUCCAGGGAACGUAUGUUCCGUUGCGAGAAGGAGCUUGCGGAAGCUGCUUUGAAAGACAGAGGGAGCUCCUACGGAUUAGAUAUGUUUAGAACACGUGAGCUUAGUCGUCGUGAAAGGGGUCAGUCUGACAACGUGGACUACGAGCGUUACGGGUUGAUCCCUAUCCAUCGGGACGUCAACUCCUAGGCUUACAGCCAGAGAGGGAAAAUCACUUUCAUCUGGAGAAGCUCGUCCGUUAACACCGGGCGGCCCAUCUGCAGCUCCCCGCUGUUCCUAAAAGAAAGAUUAAGGAUUUGAGUUGGCCUGACGGAGAGAUCUACCAGGCGACUCCGGCCCAUGGAGGAUGCAGAGCAUCACAUCAGAUCAAACAUUGAUAAACCAGUACUUUACCAGCGUUUUAUCAAUAUCUUUAAAG
Long non-coding RNA from Salvelinus fontinalis (brook trout), 451 nucleotides. RefSeq lists it as uncharacterized. The transcript is spliced from 3 exons. Lineage: Eukaryota; Metazoa; Chordata; Actinopteri; Salmoniformes; Salmonidae. The record is from RefSeq and is a predicted model, not a curated record.